This is a Y RNA of Callithrix jacchus (white-tufted-ear marmoset), 96 nucleotides long. It matches the Rfam family "Y RNA". From Rfam's summary of the family: Y RNAs are components of the Ro ribonucleoprotein particle (Ro RNP), in association with Ro60 and La proteins. The Y RNAs and Ro60 and La proteins are well conserved, but the function of the Ro RNP is not known. The record is from Ensembl. NCBI's taxonomy places the organism in Eukaryota, Metazoa, Chordata, Mammalia, Primates, Cebidae.
GGCUGGUCCGAUGGUAGUGGGUUAUCAGAACUUAUUAACAUUAGUGUCACUAAAGUUGGUAUGCAACCUCCCAUUGCUAAAUUUGACUGGCUUUUA